UGAGAAGUUGUAGUGAACCCAUCUUAGACUCCUCUUGCACUCGUUGGUGUUCUUCCCUUUCUUCGACCAACGCAGAGAGCUUGUUCUUCGUAGGGCACUCUCUCGCCUUAUGUGGUCCGUCGCAGAAGAAACACUUAAUACGAGGCUUUUCUCCACCUUUGUCAUCCUUGUUGCCAUGGUUACCUCCCUCUCUGGGCUUGUCAAACCUGUAGGAGCCUUCCUUUUUGUGGUGGCGAUCUCCCCCAUUCUUUCCGUUACCGUUCCUUUCUUGGUCAGGCUUGUGCUUGUCUUGCCUCCUGAUCUCUAUCAAGGAUUCGGCCACGACAAUGGCGGUGUUGAGAUCUUGGACACCACGGCGCUCCAACUCCAACCUUGCCCAAAUCUGCAACCCAUCCGUGAAUGCAAACAAGGCUUCUUCAUCGGUAUAGUUGGGAAUUUCAAGAAGUGUGUCGGUGAA
Molecule: long non-coding RNA, 457 nt
Filed under: Ricinus communis (castor bean)
Lineage: Eukaryota; Viridiplantae; Streptophyta; Magnoliopsida; Malpighiales; Euphorbiaceae
Description: long non-coding RNA (RCOM_LNC003680)
Source: RNAcentral